RNAcentral lists this ribosomal RNA (465 nucleotides) under Vreelandella stevensii. RNAcentral describes it as "partial 16S ribosomal RNA". It matches the Rfam family "Bacterial small subunit ribosomal RNA", at positions 338 to 795 of the family's 1533-position model. The record is from RNAcentral. Lineage: Bacteria; Pseudomonadati; Pseudomonadota; Gammaproteobacteria; Oceanospirillales; Halomonadaceae.
CCUACGGGAGGCUGCAGUGGGGAAUAUUGGACAAUGGGCGAAAACCUGAUCCAGCCAUGCCGCGUGUGUGAAGAAGGCCUUCGGGUUGUAAAGCACUUUCAGUGGGGAAGAAAGCCUUGGGGCUAAUACCCUCGAGGAAGGACAUCACCCACAGAAGAAGCACCGGCUAACUCCGUGCCAGCAGCCGCGGUAAUACGGAGGGUGCGAGCGUUAAUCGGAAUUACUGGGCGUAAAGCGCGCGUAGGCGGUCUGAUAAGCCGGUUGUGAAAGCCCCGGGCUCAACCUGGGAACGGCAUCCGGAACUGUCAGGCUAGAGUGCAGGAGAGGAAGGUAGAAUUCCCGGUGUAGCGGUGAAAUGCGUAGAGAUCGGGAGGAAUACCAGUGGCGAAGGCGGCCUUCUGGACUGACACUGACGCUGAGGUGCGAAAGCGUGGGUAGCAAACAGGAUUAGAUACCCCAGUAGUC